This 460-nucleotide ribosomal RNA is filed under the name uncultured bacterium. Its description in RNAcentral is "partial 16S ribosomal RNA". It matches the Rfam family "Bacterial small subunit ribosomal RNA", at positions 338 to 795 of the family's 1533-position model. The record is from RNAcentral.
CCUACGGGGGGCAGCAGUGAGGAAUAUUGGUCAAUGGACGAGAGUCUGAACCAGCCACGUAGCGUGAAGGAUGACUGCCCUAUGGGUUGUAAACUUCUUUUAUAUGGGAAUAAAAUGUUCCACGUGUGGGAUUUUGUAUGUACCAUAUGAAUAAGGAUCGGCUAACUCCGUGCCAGCAGCCGCGGUAAUACGGAGGAUCCGAGCGUUAUCCGGAUUUAUUGGGUUUAAAGGGAGCAUAGGUGGAUUGUUAAGUCAGUUGUGAAAGUUUGCGGCUCAACCGUAAAAUUGCAGUUGAAACUGGCAGUCUGGAGUGCAGUAGAGGUGGGCGGAAUGCGUGGUGUAGCGGUGAAAUGCUUAGAUAUCACGAAGAACUCCGAUUGCGAAGGCAGCUCACUGGACUGCAACUGACACUGAGGCUCGAAAGUGUGGGUAUCAAACAGGAUUAGAUACCCUUGUAGUC